Molecule: long non-coding RNA, 307 nt
Filed under: Panax ginseng (ginseng)
Lineage: Eukaryota; Viridiplantae; Streptophyta; Magnoliopsida; Apiales; Araliaceae
Description: long non-coding RNA (PGIN_LNC013968)
Source: RNAcentral
UUUUUUAAUGUCUUUAAAAGUUAGGUGGUAUUGAAUUAAGAUUUUUACAAAGUCUAUAAAAGUAUUUUGGUAUUCAAAAAGUCAUAGACUUUUCAGAUUUCUAUUAAAUGAUAGACUUUGAUAGACUUUAGAAGAAGAAUUAUAACUAUCAACCCAUAUCCAAAGUCUGGCCUCAUCUCUAAAGAUUUCUAAAGACUUCCAAAUAAACACAAAGGUGGAUAAAACUAGUUAUUAAUUGGACUUUGUGUUUUAUUGGGUCAAACUAAUUAUUUAUUUAUAUGGGCUAAUAAAUAUUAAUAUGUGAUGG